UCUACUUAUUAAAGCGAUACAGCU
RNAcentral lists this small nuclear RNA (24 nucleotides) under Arabidopsis thaliana (thale cress). Its description in RNAcentral is "snRNA_00203". Lineage: Eukaryota; Viridiplantae; Streptophyta; Magnoliopsida; Brassicales; Brassicaceae. The record is from RNAcentral.